Molecule: ribosomal RNA, 441 nt
Filed under: uncultured bacterium
Lineage: Bacteria
Description: bacterial SSU rRNA
Rfam family: Bacterial small subunit ribosomal RNA
Source: RNAcentral
AACGCGAAGAACCUUACCCAGGCUUGACAUGCAGUGGAAUUUGGCAGAAAUGUCAAAGCCCUUCGGGGCCGGCUGCACAGGUGCUGCAUGGCUGUCGUCAGCUCGUGCCGUGAGGUGUUGGGUUAAGUCCCGCAACGAGCGCAACCCUUAUCAUUAGUUGCCAACACGUAAAGGUGGGAACUCUAAUGAGACUGCCUGGGUUAACCAGGAGGAAGGUGAGGAUGACGUCAAGUCCGCAUGGCCCUUAUGUCUGGGGCUACACACGUGCUACAAUGGUCGGUACAGAAGGCAGCGAAACUGCAAAGUGAAGCAAAUCCCCAAAACCGGCCCCAGUUCAGAUUGUAGUCUGCAACUCGACUACAUGAAGUUGGAAUUGCUAGUAAUGGCGAGUCAGCAACAUCGCCGUGAAUACGUUCCCGGGCCUUGUACACACCGGAGUGC